This 75-nucleotide transfer RNA is filed under the name Epilobium palustre. RNAcentral describes it as "tRNA-Glu". It matches the Rfam family "tRNA". Rfam says of the family: Transfer RNA (tRNA) molecules are approximately 80 nucleotides in length. Lineage: Eukaryota; Viridiplantae; Streptophyta; Magnoliopsida; Myrtales; Onagraceae. The record is from RNAcentral.
CCCCCAUCGUCUAGAGGCCAAGGACAUCUCUCUUUCAAGGAGGCAGCGGGGAUUCGAAUUCCCCUGGGGGUAGGG